Molecule: ribosomal RNA, 888 nt
Filed under: uncultured bacterium
Lineage: Bacteria
Description: bacterial SSU rRNA
Rfam family: Bacterial small subunit ribosomal RNA
Source: RNAcentral
AGUCGAGCGAGCAAAGUUAAAGGAAUACUUCGGUAGGAAUUUAAUAGCGCGAGCGGCGGAUGGGUGAGUAACACGUGGGCAAUCUACCCUUUAGCUUGGGAUACCACUUGGAAACAGGUGCUAAUACCAAAUAAGAAGUAAGAGCGCAUGCUCAAGCUAUGAAAGGCGGCUUUCGAGCUGUCACUAAAGGGUGAGCCCGCGGUGCAUUAGCUAGUUGGUAAGGUAACGGCUUACCAAGGCAAUGAUGCAUAGCCGAGUUGAGAGACUGAUCGGCCACAUUGGGACUGAGACACGGCCCAAACUCCUACGGGAGGCAGCAGUAGGGAAUCUUCCACAAUGGACGCAAGUCUGAUGGAGCAACGCCGCGUGAGUGAAGAAGGUUUUCGGAUCGUAAAGCUCUGUUGUUGGUGAAGAAGGACAUGGAUAGUAACUGAUCUAUGUUUGACGGUAAUCAACCAGAAAGUCACGGCUAACUACGUGCCAGCAGCCGCGGUAAUACGUAGGUGGCAAGCGUUGUCCGGAUUUAUUGGGCGUAAAGCGAACGCAGGCGGGAGAACAAGUCAGCUGUGAAAGCCCUCGGCUUAACCGAGGAACGGCAACUGAAACUGUUUUUCUUGAGUGCAGAAGAGGAGAGUGGAACUCCAUGUGUAGCGGUGAAAUGCGUAGAUAUAUGGAAGAACACCAGUGGCGAAGGCGGCUCUCUGGUCUGUAACUGACGCUGAGGUUCGAAAGCAUGGGUAGCGAACAGGAUUAGAUACCCUGGUAGUCCAUGCCGUAAACGAUGAGUGCUAAGUGUUGGGAGGUUUCCGCCUCUCAGUGCUGCAGCUAACGCAUUAAGCACUCCGCCUGGGGAGUACGACCGCAAGGUUAAAACUCAAAGGAAUUGAC